AUGGAUGUGGAUGCAGAUGAGGAGGAGGAGGAGGCAGAGGACGAGGUCAUCUCUAAGGGUUUCAUCUCUCCCACCUCUGAGCCAUCAUGGGCUAAGAGGCUGAAGAACAAGAUGAAGGCUCUGUUCUGUAUGCAAGCUCAGGGGCAAUAUCGGACUCACGUUGCUUCCAAGGAGAAUCGCCGUUGUGACAAGAGGAUGUUGAGGAAGCUUGGCGAGGAGGUGUCUAGCGGUUCUGAGAGGCACAUCACUCCCGAGGCUGACUGGAUGGCCAAGCAAGGCCUCGUGUGGACCGAUUCUGAGGAGAACAACGAGGAUACCAUUCCCACUGCCGAGUCUGACGAGGAGCGUGCGUCUGACUACUCCGCUUGA
RNAcentral lists this ribosomal RNA (369 nucleotides) under Triticum aestivum (bread wheat). Its description in RNAcentral is "partial small subunit ribosomal RNA". The record is from RNAcentral. Lineage: Eukaryota; Viridiplantae; Streptophyta; Magnoliopsida; Poales; Poaceae.